Molecule: ribosomal RNA, 372 nt
Filed under: uncultured organism
Description: bacterial SSU rRNA
Rfam family: Bacterial small subunit ribosomal RNA
Source: RNAcentral
CGUAGGAGGCGAGCGUUAUCCGGAUUCACUGGGCGUAAAGCGCGUGCAGGUGGUUCGGUAAGUUGGGCGUGAAAUCUCCCGGCUCAACUGGGAGAGGUCGUUCAAUACUACCGAACUUGAGAGCAGAAGAGGAAGAUGGAAUUCCCGGUGUAGUGGUGAAAUGCGUAGAUAUCGGGAGGAACACCAGUGGCGAAGGCGAUCUUCUGGUCUGUUUCUGACACUCAGACGCGACAGCUAGGGUAGUAAACGGGAUUAGAGACCCCGGUAAUCCUAGCCGUAAACGAUGUGAACUUGGCGUUGGUGGGUUAAACUCCAUCAGUGCCGUAGCAAACGCGAUAAGUUCACCGCCUGGGGACUACGGCCGCAAGGUUA